CUCAGGAUGAACGCUAGCGGGAGGCUUAAUACAUGCAAGUCGAGGGUAACGAGGGGCUUCGGCCCGCUGAGACCGGCGCACGGGUGAGUAACGCGUACGCAACUUACCUCCAAGCGAGGGAUAGCCCUGGGAAACUGGGAUUAAUACCUCAUGUGAUUAUGAUGCCGCAUGGUGUUAUAAUUAAAGUUCAGGCGCUUGGAGAUGGGCGUGCGUCCUAUUAGCUAGUUGGUGAGGUAACGGCUCACCAAGGCGACGAUAGGUAGGGGGCGUGAGAGCGUGGCCCCCCACACGGGUACUGAGACACGGACCCGACUCCUACGGGAGGCAGCAGUAAGGAAUAUUGGACAAUGGGCGCAAGCCUGAUCCAGCCAUCCCGCGUGCAGGAUGACAGCCCUACGGGUUGUAAACUGCUUUUGUUAGGGAAGAAACCCCUCGAUUUAUCGGGGGCUGACGGUACCUUUCGAAUAAGCACCGGCUAACUCCGUG
RNAcentral lists this ribosomal RNA (486 nucleotides) under uncultured bacterium. RNAcentral's name for it is "bacterial SSU rRNA". It matches the Rfam family "Bacterial small subunit ribosomal RNA", at positions 23 to 507 of the family's 1533-position model. The record is from RNAcentral.